This 1011-nucleotide small RNA is filed under the name Rattus norvegicus (Norway rat). RNAcentral's name for it is "uncharacterized LOC102548668". Lineage: Eukaryota; Metazoa; Chordata; Mammalia; Rodentia; Muridae. The record is from RNAcentral.
CACACACACACACACACACACCAGGGCACACCCUGAGCUCCCCUGCUGUGGCCUCCAUGGCCUGUCGCAACUGUCAAGGGGCCCCCGUCUGGCGGGCUUGGGUCCGGCUCCCCCGCCGCCACCGUGAUUUAUUCGCCUCACUCGACGGAAUCAGGUGCUGAACCCAUCCCCGGAACAAGGGAACAGAUUUCUCCCAGGAAGGGUUUUGUGAAUUUAACGAUGCUAAUUACGGGGUGCGGAACGCUCCGCCGCCGCCGGAGGAGGGGAGGCGCGCAGGGCCAAGCUGGGCCAGCUUGGGGAAAGGCUCAGGCUGCGGGCCUCCCUGGGCGCUUUCCAGAAGCCUCCUUUACGCCUCUCGCCCGGGUUUCACCCUUCCCUGGGAACUUUCCUGUCUGAGUUAACUAUUAACCGUUGACGAGAGGCAAUUUUCUUCGGAAUUUCAGCGAUUUCCUUUUCGUCCUGGAAGCAGAUUAACAUGCAAACGGGGAGGCGAUCGGCUCGAAGCUGUCCCUCCAAUCUGUCCCGGCCGCCGGACAGCGGAAAACUACAGCCCCGGCCCCCCCACGCCUGCUUGAGCAGGGGCCGUGACCCAGCCAGUACCCGCAGAGAAGAUGGAAAAAGCCCAGCGCCGGUGCUGGAGCGAAGUUGGAGGCACGGACACUGAUUGCGCCUUAUGAAGUUCUAACUGGUUUUGUGUCAGGAAGAUCUUUCUCGCUGCUACCCAGCCUGGCGUGACGGAUUAAACAUCAACUAGUUAAAUAAAAAUUAAUAUCAACUGCCUCCUAACUUCUAAUGUCAUGUUGUUUAUAACUAAUGAACUGAUUAGGGGAUAAACACAUCACGGAGACGUUCGGCUUUCCUGCCUCAGCUCCAUCCUCGCCGGUGCCCACUCCAGUGCUGCCAGUCGCCAGGCCAGGAAAGGGGGAGUUGGCUGGGAGGGCGGGGUAAGCUGCCUAGAGUGGGAGUCCCAGGGUUUGCUCCUCUGCCUGCCUUGAUCCAUCUCUCCUCUCU